RNAcentral lists this ribosomal RNA (2717 nucleotides) under Peltigera dolichorrhiza. Its description in RNAcentral is "large subunit ribosomal RNA". The stretch from base 208 to 2629 matches the Rfam family "Bacterial large subunit ribosomal RNA". Lineage: Eukaryota; Fungi; Ascomycota; Lecanoromycetes; Peltigerales; Peltigeraceae. The record is from RNAcentral.
GUGAAUAAUAUGGAUAGUAUUGUUUUGCCGUUAAAUAUUUUUAAUGGCGGCAAGUAUACAAAGAAGCUAUUAUGGAUUCACAGCUAUAUAUCAAAGAGAGAAUAAAACUUUUAAUUUUGAAAGCACACCUUUUUAUGAUUUUUUUCUUUUGUUUUUAAUCAUUAUUUUUUAAUGAUCAUAAUAAUAGGAUUAAAAAAGUAAAUGGUCGGUUAGUAGAUGAACUCUAAUUAGAAAUUAAUUAAAAAAAACGAAGUGAAUUGAAAUAUCUUAUUAACUUCAGGAAAACAAAUCAAACGAGAUUCUGCAAGUAGUGAGAAUGAAAGAGGAAUAGCCUAAUUAAGUAAAAUGGAGUACAUAUCUGUUUGAAUAUAAAGGGGAACCUUCCUCUAAGGCUAAAUAUGAUAUAUAAGCGAUAGUUGGAAGUACCGUGAGGGAAAGGAUUGAAAUAGUAGUUUUAUAAGCAGCUCGAGCGAAAUUUAAAUAAAGAAUGAGAGCGUACCUUUUGCAUAAUGGGUCAGCAAGUUAAUAUUAGACGCGAGCAGUAAAGCGAAGAUAAACCAAUUAUGAAAUAAUGAUGUAGUAUCUAAGAUUAGACCCGAAGCCUAGUGAUCUUACCAUGAUCAGGGUUAUAAAAGCCCGAACGGUUUAUCGUUGUAAAGAUAUCCGAUGAAUUGUGGUAUGUUGGUGAAAGAUAAUACUGACUAGGAUAGCUGGUUUUCCGCGAAACCUAUAUAAGUAGGUAAUUUAAAUAACAUCAUAGCAGGUACAGAAUUGUGGUCUCAUAUAGCUAACAUGUUUAUGAAAUAGAUAUGUUAUCUGUAGACAUUGGGGGAUCGUGAAGAUUCUAUCAGUGAGUAUUUGUUCUCGGAAGGGCUAAGAUUAAUAUUGAAUAAUCAGACAUAGUACGCAAAGGUUGUAUGUCUAAAGGGAAACAGCCCAGAACAAGAGUUAAUAAGGUUCCAAAAUUAUUGUUAAGUGAAAUAAAAGUAGUAUUUGUCCUAGACAACCAGGAAAUAGGCUUAGAAGCGGCCAUUUUUUGAAGACCUCGUAGCAGAGCACUGGUUUGUAGACUGUUUAUAUGAUUUACAAGGAUAAAGCACUGAAAAUUUAACGGAUCUAAACAAUAUACCGAAACCUUGUCCAUAUAUAUUUAUAUAUCAUAGUUAUAUAUUGUAUUUAUGGGGUAGCGGAACAUUGGGCUAAUCUAAGAUUUUUUCUUUAUAAGAAUUAAUAUCAGGUAACCCAAGUGAGAAUGCUGACAUGAGUAACGAUAAAGGGAAUAACUCCCUCGCCUAAAGCUUAUGGUAUUUACUUAAAGUAACGGCCUCUAAGUUUAUGUAGUAGAGUAGUAAAAUAAAGUAACGAAGAUAAAGUAAAUGAAACGACGUUUUUUUGUUGAUUCACUAACUUUAUAACGCUGUUUUAGUGUAUUACCUAGUCCUUUAGGAUUAAACGAUGAGCAAAUCUAGAGAGUUUACUGGCAAAUAACAUUUAUGCACUUUAAUAUAUAAUUGUGUAUAAAGAAGGUGAUAAAUGUUCUGGAAAACUGUAAACUCGACAUGAAACUGCAGAAAUGUAUAGUGUGAGUAGUAUAGAGAAAACACGAAAGGAAUUAAACGUUCCAUCAUGUCUAUAUCAACCGUACCUAAAUACUAUCGCAAGUAAGCAAGUAGAGAAUACGAAGGCGUUCGAGUGAACAAUCAUUAAGGAACUCGGCAAAUUAACUCUGUCGUAACUUAGGGAUAAGGUGGGCCAUUCCACUUGAUUAAUAUCAAGGUUGGAAGAGGAGGCACAGAAUGGUGUUGUACGACUGUUUAAUUAAAACAAAGCAUGCUGCAAAGAAAAAAUAAUUCGAAGUAUAGUGUGUGAACUCUGCCCUAUGACGGCUGGGUAUACUAUUUGCUUAAUUGACUAACAUAGGUUAGGCUUUGAAGGAAACCCCGUUCAAUGGCGGCUUUACAGAUGAGAGUCCUAAGGUAGCGUAAUACCUUGGCCGUUAAAUGCGGUCUUGCAUGAAUGACGUAACGAUACAACAGCUGUCUCAAUGAUUGGCUCGGUGAAAUUGGAGUAACAGUGCAGAUACUGUUUACCUGUAGAUAGACGAGAAACAGGCUAAUUGCGCCAGAGAGUUCAUAUUGAGUGCGCAGUUUGGCACCUCGAUGUCGGCUUAGCUCAUCCACAUGGAUGCAACAACCAUGAAGGGUUCGACUGUUCGUCGAUUAAAGAGUUACACGAGCUGGGUUAAAUACGUCGUGAGACAGUAUGGUUUCUAUCUUCUAGAGGAAAUUAGAAUAAAAUAAGGAUAGCCCCUUGUACGUAAGUAAAUGGGUAUAUUAACCUCUGGUUUACCUGCUGUUUAUGUUCCUAUAUUAAUUUAAAUUAUAAGUUUAUAUAAAAAGGACAUUCUUUUUAAUAUGGCUUAUUUUGGGGUUUUACUUUUCACUAUAGUAAUUUUUAACAUAGGCACGGCAGGAAGGCUAUGUUAGUUAAUGAUAAGAGCUGAAUACAUAUAGGCACGAAACUUACCUUUAGAUAUUCUUAAAUAAACGUAGUUUAAUACUACGAUUUUAGGUCCUUAUAGUUUAAAUAUGAAAAUAUAUAACAAGUAUAAUUUAAUAAAAUUAAUCUGGGUUUAAUAUUUUUAUCUUUACCAUAAAGAUUUUAAUUAAUAGGCUUUAGCUGACAGAAUUGUGACAUUUUUAGGCACAAAGUACUAA